CCAAGUAUGUGCAGAAUGAAAUUCCAACUACCCGGCAAAGAAGUGCUGGCAGUACCAGUCACAGCGAAAUAUAAGUUCCCACAGAGCUGCAGAGAGCAACAGUAACAAACUGUGCUGCUAUAUGUAAAUGUGUGCCUGCCUAGAUGUCAUGAAUUGAAAACGAAAUAUAAGAACAUAAGGGCGGGCAUAUAACCGCCAAUGCUAACAAACAAGGAAGCAAGGACUAAAACAGCAGAAAAAGGCAACACGACAGCAAACAAGUCACAAAAAAAAAAGGAAAACUAACUAGAAGGGUGCAGCAAUAAGUGCGAUAAGAAGACUUUCUCCUUGAAGAUUAUUAUAAUGAUGUUCUAUCGACCUUAAGUAUGUAAAUACGCAAUGGCAAAACGAAAACCCACAGCAGGGUAUAUGGGUAUGAGGGUAUGUCCUCACAUGCAUGCACACAUGCGAGAGGUAGAGUCGCUUAUGUAAAUAUUUUGGUAUUAUGUAUAUUUGAUGGAAAUAAAUCUUUGCCUCAUAAUUUA
Long non-coding RNA from Stomoxys calcitrans (stable fly), 524 nucleotides. RefSeq lists it as uncharacterized. The transcript has 2 exons. NCBI's taxonomy places the organism in Eukaryota, Metazoa, Arthropoda, Insecta, Diptera, Muscidae. The record is from RefSeq and is a predicted model, not a curated record.